Molecule: non-coding RNA, 579 nt
Organism: Carica papaya (papaya)
Lineage: Eukaryota; Viridiplantae; Streptophyta; Magnoliopsida; Brassicales; Caricaceae
Source: RefSeq, a predicted model, not a curated record
UUCUGAACCAUUUGUCGGAUGGCAGGUGGGAAAGGUGUUGCUUAAUGCUUUUCUAUAUCCAGGAAUCAAGACACCUUCGCAAAAGAAUUCCCUUGUUGCAGUAUUUCAUACUUCGGGUGAAAAUGGUGCUAAUGAUGAGACUGUCACGGCGCGCACAUUCUUAAUUAGGUUGAAAACGGAGGACGAUCGCAAUAAGCUAGCGACGGCAAUACAAGACUAUGCCCCUGCAACAUGAAAAUUACUACAAAUGGUCAUAACGAAUCACUGCCAAGAUUGGCUUGUAAACAAAUAAGCCAGUCCUAUUUUUGUGGGGCGGACACCAGGAGCUUGGGACUGUGAAAGGAACUAUUGUAUAAACUUAAAGAGGCCGCAGGACUUGUAACAUAAGAGGAGUUUUCUUUUUUCAAGGAACCAACUCAAGAGGUUGAGUUUUAUAUUUUGCUGAAAAAUUUAGUGGUUACAAGCUCUUUCUUUCUUUUAUAUGCACGUGGAUCCUUUUUUUCUUAAUUUGGAAAGUUUUGUAAUUUAAUACAAGUUAAACAACAAUGCACCACUUACCUAUCAUCCUAAAAGAAAAAU